This 22-nucleotide microRNA is filed under the name Sarcophilus harrisii (Tasmanian devil). RNAcentral's name for it is "Sha-Let-7-P1b_3p* (star (passenger))". Lineage: Eukaryota; Metazoa; Chordata; Mammalia; Dasyuromorphia; Dasyuridae. The record is from RNAcentral.
CUGUACGGCUCACUAGCUUUCC